UACGGAGGAUGCGAGCGUUAUCCGGAUUUAUUGGGUUUAAAGGGUGCGUAGGCGGAUCGAUAAGUCAGUGGUGAAAACCUGCAGCUUAACUGUAGACUUGCCGUUGAUACUGUUGGUCUUGAGUAUGGUCAAGGUAGGCGGAAUGUGUAAUGUAGCGGUGAAAUGCUUAGAUAUUACACAGAACACCGAUUGCGAAGGCAGCUUACUGGGCCAUUACUGACGCUGAUGCACGAAAGCGUGGGGAUCGAACAGG
RNAcentral lists this ribosomal RNA (253 nucleotides) under uncultured bacterium. Its description in RNAcentral is "partial 16S ribosomal RNA". It matches the Rfam family "Bacterial small subunit ribosomal RNA", at positions 524 to 776 of the family's 1533-position model. The record is from RNAcentral.